This 69-nucleotide transfer RNA is filed under the name Rattus norvegicus (Norway rat). It matches the Rfam family "tRNA". Rfam says of the family: Transfer RNA (tRNA) molecules are approximately 80 nucleotides in length. Their secondary structure includes four short double-helical elements and three loops (D, anti-codon, and T loops). Further hydrogen bonds mediate the characteristic L-shaped molecular structure. tRNAs have two regions of fundamental functional importance: the anti-codon, which is responsible for specific mRNA codon recognition, and the 3' end, to which the tRNAs corresponding amino acid is attached (by aminoacyl-tRNA synthetases). tRNAs cope with the degeneracy of the genetic code in two manners: having more than one tRNA (with a specific anti-codon) for a particular amino acid; and 'wobble' base-pairing, i.e. permitting non-standard base-pairing at the 3rd anti-codon position. The record is from Rfam by way of RNAcentral. Lineage: Eukaryota; Metazoa; Chordata; Mammalia; Rodentia; Muridae.
GGGGGUUUAGCUCAGUGGUAGAGCACUUGCCUAGCAAGCGCAAGGCCCUGGGUUCGAUCCCCAGCUCCG